AAAAGAGGACCUGCCAAGGGUGUUGUUCAGCUGUUAGGAGAAUUUAACUCUGGGCAUGUGUUGGACUGAAGACAUUCCGGCAUGGGAGAUAAGAAAGCAUGGUUUUGAUGAAAAAUAAGGAUGAGUGGCAGAAGAUCAAUUAGGAAGCUGCUGCAUUUGUCCAUGAGAAGAGAUGAAGAUUUGGAUGUGAUUGAAAGCACUGGGACACAGAUAAGUACAAUGGAGGGGAAAAAACAUAAAAUUAAUAAAAACAGAGAAAGGCAAGGAAAAUAAAUCUUACAUAUUUCUGUAAGGGUGAAAAAGGAACUAUCUGCUUACCGCAUAUGAUAAAGGAUCAUGGCAAAUAGCCCUAUAACA
RNAcentral lists this long non-coding RNA (357 nucleotides) under Heterocephalus glaber (naked mole-rat). Its description in RNAcentral is "lncRNA (ENSHGLG00000033715.1)". Lineage: Eukaryota; Metazoa; Chordata; Mammalia; Rodentia; Bathyergidae. The record is from RNAcentral.